AAGAAAAAGUUUAUGUGCAUUGGUGUUUUUCUCAAUGUUGUUUGUUGUCCUUUAUAUAGAGGUGAAAGGACCGUUGAAUUUUGAUGGUAGAUAUUUUGUCUUGAAUAGAAAUUAAUUGCAUAACUUCUGUUGUUUCUUGCCAAAACCACUUUGUCUCCCUGAAUAACUUCUUUCCAGUAAUAGUUUCUUUCCAUUUAAAUUUGAAGUUUACGUUACUCUUUCUGAAUUAGG
RNAcentral lists this long non-coding RNA (231 nucleotides) under Lathyrus oleraceus (garden pea). RNAcentral's name for it is "Pisum sativum (pea) long non-coding RNA (PSAT_LNC016106)". The record is from RNAcentral. Lineage: Eukaryota; Viridiplantae; Streptophyta; Magnoliopsida; Fabales; Fabaceae.